CCUACGGGCGACUGCAGUGGGGAAUAUUGGACAAUGGGGGGAACCCUGAUCCAGCCAUGCCGCGUGUGUGAAGAAGGCCCUCGGGUUGUAAAGCACUUUCAGUGAGGAAGAACGCCUGGUGGUUAAUACCCAUCAGGAAAGACAUCACUCACAGAAGAAGCACCGGCUAACUCCGUGCCAGCAGCCGCGGUAAUACGGAGGGUGCGAGCGUUAAUCGGAAUUACUGGGCGUAAAGCGCGCGUAGGUGGCUUGAUAAGCCGGUUGUGAAAGCCCCGGGCUCAACCUGGGAACGGCAUCCGGAACUGUCAAGCUAGAGUGCAGGAGAGGAAGGUAGAAUUCCCGGUGUAGCGGUGAAAUGCGUAGAGAUCGGGAGGAAUACCAGUGGCGAAGGCGGCCUUCUGGACUGACACUGACACUGAGGUGCGAAAGCGUGGGUAGCAAACAGGAUUAGAUACCCUAGUAGUC
RNAcentral lists this ribosomal RNA (465 nucleotides) under Vreelandella stevensii. RNAcentral's name for it is "partial 16S ribosomal RNA". It matches the Rfam family "Bacterial small subunit ribosomal RNA", at positions 338 to 795 of the family's 1533-position model. Lineage: Bacteria; Pseudomonadati; Pseudomonadota; Gammaproteobacteria; Oceanospirillales; Halomonadaceae. The record is from RNAcentral.